This 492-nucleotide ribosomal RNA is filed under the name uncultured bacterium. Its description in RNAcentral is "partial 16S ribosomal RNA". It matches the Rfam family "Bacterial small subunit ribosomal RNA", at positions 29 to 507 of the family's 1533-position model. The record is from RNAcentral.
AGUGAACGCUGGCGGUAGGCCUAACACAUGCAAGUCGAACGGCAGCACAGUAAGAGCUUGCUCUUACGGGUGGCGAGUGGCGGACGAGUGAGGAAUACAUCGGAAUCUACUUUUUCGUGGGGGAUAACGUAGGGAAACUUACGCUAAUACCGCAUACGACCUACGGGUGAAAGCAGGGGAUCUUCGGACCUUGCGCGAUUGAAUGAGCCGAUGUCGGAUUAGCUAGUUGGCGGGGUAAAGGCCCACCAAGGCGACGAUCCGUAGCUGGUCUGAGAGGAUGAUCAGCCACACUGGAACUGAAACACGGUCCAGACUCCUACGGGAGGCAGCAGUGGGGAAUAUUGAACAAUGGGCGCAAGCCUGAUCCAGCCAUACCGCGUGGGUGAAGAAGGCCUUCGGGUUGUAAAGCCCUUUUGUUGGGAAAGAAAAGCAGCAGGUUAAUACCCCGCUGUUCUGACGGUACCCAAAGAAUAAGCACCGGCUAACUUCGUG